UAGUGCCAGACUUGUCAAGUGUGGCUUGGCCAUCACACUCAGCUAUAGAACCAGAACAUUCGUUUCUCUCCUGAGGAAGGCAAUGGAAAGCAUGAAGGAUUGAAUUAAUUUAAGGACCUCUCUAUUGAUGAACUUUGAGAGAGAGCUGAGAAGUCCUGCCAAUGUGAGGCUGAAGAUGGUACAUUAAACUCCAAGGAAGCUACUGGCAAAGUACCUAAGGAAGCAGUUAUAUCAGAGAAUAAAGACGAAGAACUUGGCAAAGGCUGUUAAAGCGAGUGUUCCAACUGAACUGCAG
Long non-coding RNA from Empidonax traillii (willow flycatcher), 295 nucleotides. RefSeq lists it as uncharacterized. The record is from RefSeq and is a predicted model, not a curated record. NCBI's taxonomy places the organism in Eukaryota, Metazoa, Chordata, Aves, Passeriformes, Tyrannidae. The transcript is spliced from 3 exons.